AAGAGUACAUACUGACUAUGGCAGAUGGAUUUUCUACACUGUAGGCAAAUCACAAGUGAUGUUUGGAACAUCGUUAAACUCUAUAUGUAUUUAUUACUAAUGACUAACUGGAUCAAACGGUUGACUCAGUGAGAUUUCCCUGCAAAGGGAUGAACUACAGACUAUUAUGUGCAAGAACCCUGAGCGUGCUUCUCCGUUACUCCUCACAUGAACGGACUUGUUGAAAACAGAGACUCGCAUAUUGUUCUAAUAAUCUAGCGCGUGACCUCUGACACUUUGAGAUUCCCUGCGUCUGAGGACCCUCCCGCCCCCCUAAAGAUCACAAUGCCAGUCUCCUGCCUCUGCUCCGGCUGUGACCUCUUGACCCUUUUCAGGACCCCGCUCCUCAGCGUGCUUCCCACAGUGUGUGCGAGCUGCAGCAGAUGUGGAGGGGAGAAGGAGCGCGAGGUCUGACUCGCUGUCUCCCUCCUGUGGCCGCAGGUCAGACUCACCAAGCCAAACCGCAAUCUGAAGUGGUUUCUGAGAAUUACCCACCCAUGAAGUAGCUCAGAGCGACCCCGCCUAAAGGGAAGGAAUGGGAGGAGCUGCCUUUGACCCCCGUUGCUAUGGAUGAUGUCAGCAUUGAGACGCCUCAUGAAUACUUCCUGCUGUGGAGGGAUCAGGGGUUUCUUAACCUUGGAUGGGAAAGGAGAUUAACUCCUUUUAUAUACUGAAAACAUGAAGAGAGACACGUGGAAUAGGUUUAACCGCCAUAUAUUUAUACCUAAUUUAAUACUGAGAUAUUAAAGGAAGAUUUUGUCUAGUGACGAGAUAGUGCAACAAACUUCUGUUAAGAUCUAUACUUAAAUCAUCUUAAAAUAGAAAUGAGCUGGAAACUCAUUGGAUAUGAACGAAUUCAUUCAUUUAGUCAUGCGCUUUCUAUCGAGGACAUGUGGAAAAACGGGUAUCUUCAAUUUCUUUACUAAUGAAAUUUCCAUUGAAGGCCUAUAAAUAAAAUGUACUUUUUUUUCGAAAUAUUACAUUACACUUAUUUGUGUGUAUUAAAUGUCACCACCACUGGCUUUGUUAUCGUGGUCUGAAUCAACUGACCUUUUGGUAUAUUGGUGCUUAACGAUACGGAGAAAUAAAGUUGCCUCGGCAACAAGCGG
Gasterosteus aculeatus aculeatus (three-spined stickleback) is the source of this 1148-nucleotide long non-coding RNA. The record is from Ensembl. NCBI's taxonomy places the organism in Eukaryota, Metazoa, Chordata, Actinopteri, Perciformes, Gasterosteidae.